GCGCGGCUUACCAUGCAAGUCGAGCGGAGCGAGGGUGCUUGCACCUUAGCUUAGCGGCGGACGGGUGAGUAAUGCUUAGGAAUCUGCCUAUUAGUGGGGGACAACAUUCCGAAAGGAAUGCUAAUACCGCAUACGCCCUACGGGGGAAAGCAGGGGAUCUUCGGACCUUGCGCUAAUAGAUGAGCCUAAGUCGGAUUAGCUAGUUGGUGGGGUAAAGGCCUACCAAGGCGACGAUCUGUAGCGGGUCUGAGAGGAUGAUCCGCCACACUGGGACUGAGACACGGCCCAGACUCCUACGGGAGGCAGCAGUGGGGAAUAUUGGACAAUGGGCGGAAGCCUGAUCCAGCCAUGCCGCGUGUGUGAAGAAGGCCUUUUGGUUGUAAAGCACUUUAAGCGAGGAGGAGGCUCUUAAGGUUAAUACCCUUGAUGAGUGGACGUUACUCGCAGAAUAAGCACCGGCUAACUCUGUGCCAGCAGCCGCGGUAAUACAGAGGGUGCGAGCGUUAAUCGGAUUUACUGGGCGUAAAGCGUGCGUAGGCGGCUGAUUAAGUCGGAUGUGAAAUCCCUGAGCUUAACUUAGGAAUUGCAUUCGAUACUGGUCAGCUAGAGUAUGGGAGAGGAUGGUAGAAUUCCAGGUGUAGCGGUGAAAUGCGUAGAGAUCUGGAGGAAUACCGAUGGCGAAGGCAGCCAUCUGGCCUAAUACUGACGCUGAGGUACGAAAGCAUGGGGAGCAAACAGGAUUAGAUACCCUGGUAGUCCAUGCCGUAAACGAUGUCUACUAGCCGUUGGGGCCUUUGAGGCUUUAGUGGCGCAGCUAACGCGAUAAGUAGACCGCCUGGGGAGUACGGUCGCAAGACUAAAACUCAAAUGAAUUGACGGGGGCCCCGCACAAGCGGUGGAGCAUGUGGUUUAAUUCGAUGCAACGCGAAAACCUUACCUGGUCUUGACAUAUAAGAACUUUCCAAAUGGAUUGGUGCCCUCGGGAACUUACAUACAGGUGCUGCAUGGCUGUCCAGCUUCGUGUCCUGAAUUUUGGGUUAAUCCCCCACCGGCCCACCUUUUUCUU
This 1066-nucleotide ribosomal RNA is filed under the name Acinetobacter sp. TSIW30. RNAcentral's name for it is "bacterial SSU rRNA". It matches the Rfam family "Bacterial small subunit ribosomal RNA", at positions 42 to 1110 of the family's 1533-position model. Lineage: Bacteria; Pseudomonadati; Pseudomonadota; Gammaproteobacteria; Moraxellales; Moraxellaceae. The record is from RNAcentral.